RNAcentral lists this ribosomal RNA (253 nucleotides) under uncultured bacterium. RNAcentral describes it as "partial 16S ribosomal RNA". It matches the Rfam family "Bacterial small subunit ribosomal RNA", at positions 524 to 776 of the family's 1533-position model. The record is from RNAcentral.
UACGUAGGGUGCGAGCGUUGUCCGGAAUUAUUGGGCGUAAAGAGCUUGUAGGCGGUUUGUCGCGUCUGCCGUGAAAAUCCGGGGCUCAACUCCGGACUUGCGGUGGGUACGGGCAGACUAGAGUGUGGUAGGGGAGACUGGAAUUCCUGGUGUAGCGGUGAAAUGCGCAGAUAUCAGGAGGAACACCGAUGGCGAAGGCAGGUCUCUGGGCCACUACUGACGCUGAGAAGCGAAAGCGUGGGGAGCGAACAGG